This is a long non-coding RNA of Felis catus (domestic cat), 3322 nucleotides long. RefSeq lists it as uncharacterized. The record is from RefSeq and is a predicted model, not a curated record. NCBI's taxonomy places the organism in Eukaryota, Metazoa, Chordata, Mammalia, Carnivora, Felidae. The transcript has 2 exons.
ACAGCCCUGUCAUACCUCUUUCUACACAUGCCUAUUUGUUAAAUGUGUCCCUCUAGGCUAGUCUGCUAGGAUUUCAGGUUAAAGAAUAUGUCCCUCAUUUCUUCUUCCUGGGUGAUUGUUGUAUGAAAGCAAAAGAGAGGUCUUCAUAAGAGGAAAGGUGGAGGGAAUGUGUCCACAGCCAUUAUAAGCUGCACCUGACCAGGAAGAAUUUCGGAAAAUAUACUUUACAAACUUAGAAUUAUGUGUGGGAAGUCUAUUUGUGGGGGUCAUAUCAACAAUAGAGUACAGAUAAAGUGUCACCAGAGGUGUGAGUGACAACCACAUCAAAAUGGACAGUAAAGCAUAUGGUGUAUCCCUAGUGCUAACUUCUUGCUAUAGGAAAGCUGAAGUCUGUGUGAAGUCCUCAAACAAUCUAAGAUGGGGAGAAAAGGAGACCACUUUGAAGUCACAUUGGAGUAAUUUUCUGAAAAUGGUUGUAAUGGAAGUUAACCACGUCAGAUGUACUUUUUUAAACUAGAGUAUCACCUCUACCUGAUGACACACAUCAGGUAAUGUAUACAGUUAAAUACUGAGAGCCUACCUGUGGACCAUCCACACUGAGAUGGAUUAUCUAGGACCAGCUGAUAUCAUCUUGCUUACCUAUGCCAAGAGAAUUUACUUUCUAUCCUGAGUGUUUCAAAAUAUCAUCAAUCUCCAUAGAACCAAGGAACAGAUUCUGAAGGUCUGAUGUCAUAAUCCUUAUACAUGAGAGUCUUGGAAUAGGCAGAGCAUACUGAUGUACUGAGCCAACAAAGUCAGCAGGGAGAACAGUCUUCAAGUUGACCCUGGGGUCCUCUGUAAAUGAAACCAGGGGAAUACAGGAUCCUCCUUGAGUUAGCUACCUCCAGUCUGCUCCUGGAUCAGGGAGCACAGGACAUAUUAACUCAAAGAGGCCAAAGCAGAAAUCCACCUGGGGAACAAACCAUCACCGAUCUGUCAUCAGAUCUAAGCUAUACAAGAAAGGACUAACUUGACAUCCUGAAUAUGACACAACAUCAAGGUAACCAGUCACUAGCAGGACCAAGGAACAAGAGAUAAGUGAUGACCAAGAUGAAAGAGUGAAAGUAGUGGAAUGUGCUCCCACCAUCCUUAAAUAAGUAAUGAGUGUCCAGCAAAGACUAUAUGCAAAAGAAAGCUGAAGCACCUUACUUUGAAUCAACAUGUACUCCAUUCGUUGGAGCUAGGACAUGCCAAAACUUCCUUGCAACAGCCUAUCAUUGAAGAUGCAGAACCAGCUCUGUUCUCUAAGGAAGAAGGAAAAGUUUGGAAUAUACACAAGGAUGCAAUUAUAAGCUCUGAAGUCAGUUUCCAUAGGAACAAGACAAUGUGAAUUUUCCCCUUAGCAAAACUAUCAAGGCUGAAUUGAUCUGGCCCCCUCCUUCGGGAUGGUCAUGACAGAGAACCCCAGACUCAAAAUGAGUCUAUCCCUGAGGACCAAGUAAGACCCUCAGUCCACUGGGUGAAUUCUCACCCACUUUUCUACCAGAAUAAGAUAUAGGAGUCCUCAGAGCCCACAGCCUUCCCAGUGAGGUCCUGGCUUCACAGAUGCUCACUGGUCAGCAGAGCUGCCAGGACAAACCAAACCCUUUACCCUUACAACACCAAGAUUGUGGAACAGGGGAAAGCCCUAGAACUGUUCAUUUCCUUAUUAUAACAUCCUUCAGGACUUUUGGUCCAAGCUUCAUAAGAAAAUAUUGCCAGGAAUAAUCCAGAAAUGAACUAGAGCCCAGAAGGCAUGACCAGCAGCAAUCUUUCCUGUUAAGAACAGGCCUCCCAUCAGUUUGGGGUAAAAGGUCAGUUAUUCCCAGAAGUGUGACACUGUGUGACUAUGAUGGUUCCAGAAUUCUGUUCAUGUCUCCCAGAUGGGUCCUGGAUGCUCAGAGGAGGUACAAAGUUGCCCAUGAGUACUGUCCCCCACCUCUCUAGAAAUUUAUAUUGCUAUUGAUCAUACCAAAGGCAUUCAGAAGAACCACAGGGGGCAUCCAGGUCCAAUUUUCUAGUAUUUAGGUCUCUGGUUCCUCCCAGGGAAAGUGAACGAACAGCCCCUAAAACCACAUCAUCUGAGAAUACCCAGGCACUGUACCUUUUUAAUUUUUUUAAAUGUUUUUUAGAACCUGUACCAGAAACAGGGAGUCUUGUCUAAAGCAAAGCCUGAGCAUUACAUUUUUUCAUCUUCUGACAUCAAUCCCGGAAACAGGCUUUCCCGAGAAGUAUCAUAAAACAAACCCAGAAAGGUGGUCAGAUCUUCCAGGUUUUAGGAACAGUAGCUUCCUCGACAGAACCAAUGACUCAUGCUUCCUAGAGUCUGAAACCUAGCAGGGUAACAUUGACAGCUUGAAAGGGAUUCCUAAUUCCAGGCCAUGUCUUCAGAUAGAGUCCUAGAUGCCCAGAGCAGAAAGUACUGCUGUUGACCAAGAGGAGCACUGUCCUCAGCCUGAAACAAUUAUGUUGCUGGUGGUGUCAAAAGCUCACCUUAACGGGCAUCUAUCUAACUGCAACCUUCCCACAUUCAAACUGCACUUCCUAUUGUACUUUCCAGCAGGCACACCUUAAUGACACUUCACCAGUCUAAGAACAUCCAUCAGCUUAGCAAAUAGAUUUACAUCAAACCCGUAGUCAACACCCUGUGGACAUUCCCCAUGUAAGUGAGCUAAAAUCUCUUUUAGAGCAUCAGGAAAAUAAAAAGCCUCACUGAAGAGAAUUUGAGAUGGUCCAAUGAAGAUGGUGCAUAAGGUCAUUUAAACAAAGUGUCAGAGGAGGUAAAGGGAUUCCUGGGCUGUGGCCAUUAGGCCCUUAGACUCCUGGCAGGAUGGGGAUCAUAUACUCCCCAAAGACCUACAACAUGGGAAAAACCAAAGCAAAAUAGCCUGAAGUUUUCUCCUUGGCCAGUGUCUAGUACAAACUUAUACUUCAGGUGAGACUCUGCAUGGCACAUAGCUAGCUUCCUUCUGAUUCAGUCCUAAGAGUUCUAAUGAGAGGUCAGCCUCCCAGGUCAGGUUUCACCAGAAUUCAGGUGGUUGAAGAUGAUGAAAUGUGUGAGAACAAGACUUAAACCCUUCCCUACACAAAAAGAGCUUAAAUCACACACAAAUGAGAAUUCAACAGGUCUUGAAGCUCAGACGACAAACGUAUCACUAAGUGAUGACUUCACAUGGUCUUCCCGUCUAAACCAUUACUAAUAUAGUGAAGCUGGUACUAAUAAAAUGCAUUUAUGUAUUGAAAUAUUCACACAGGAUCCUAAAACUAACAUUCUAUUCCAACAUAAUAAAGAGAUAUUGCAGAA